AGUGAACGCUGGCGGUAGGCCUAACACAUGCAAGUCGAACGGCAGCACAGUAAGAGCUUGCUCUUACGGGUGGCGAGUGGCGGACGGGUGAGGAAUACAUCGGAAUCUACUUUUUCGUGGGGGAUAACGUAGGGAAACUUACGCUAAUACCGCAUCCGCCCUACGGGUGAAAGCAGGGGAUCUUCGGACCUUGCGCGAUUGAAUGAGCCGCUGUCGGAUUAGCUAGUUGGCGGGGUAAAGGCCCACCAAGGCGACGAUCCGUAGCUGGUCUGAGAGGAUGAUCAGCCACACGGGAACUGAGACACGGUCCAGACUCCUACGGGAGGCAGCAGUGGGGAAUAUUGGACAAUGGGCGCAAGCCUGAUCCAGCCAUACCGCGUGGGUGAAGAAGGCCUUCGGGUUGUAAAGCCCUUUUGUUGGGAAAGAAAAGCAGCAGGUUAAUACCCCGCUGUUCUGACGGUACCCAAAGAAUAAGCACCGGCUAACUUCGUG
Molecule: ribosomal RNA, 492 nt
Filed under: uncultured bacterium
Lineage: Bacteria
Description: partial 16S ribosomal RNA
Rfam family: Bacterial small subunit ribosomal RNA
Source: RNAcentral